CGCUGGCGGCGUGCCUAACACAUGCAAGUCGAACGGGUUACCCUUCGGGUAACUUAGUGGCGAACGGGUGAGUAACGCGUGAGAAACCUGCCUUUCAGUGGGGGACAACAGUUGGAAACGACUGCUAAUACCGCAUAAUGUUAUUUGGGGGCAUCCCUGAAUAACCAAAGAUUUAUUGCUGAAAGAUGGUCUCGCGUCUGAUUAGCUAGUUGGUGAGGUAACGGCUCACCAAGGCGACGAUCAGUAGCCGGUCUGAGAGGAUGAACGGCCACAUUGGGACUGAGAUACGGCCCAGACUCCUACGGGAGGCAGCAGUGGGGAAUAUUGGGCAAUGGGGGAAACCCUGACCCAGCAACGCCGCGUGAAGGAAGAAGGCCUUCGGGUUGUAAACUUCUUUUAGCAGGGACGAAUUCUGACGGUACCUGCAGAAAAAGCAACGGCUAACUACGUG
RNAcentral lists this ribosomal RNA (451 nucleotides) under uncultured bacterium. RNAcentral describes it as "bacterial SSU rRNA". It matches the Rfam family "Bacterial small subunit ribosomal RNA", at positions 34 to 507 of the family's 1533-position model. The record is from RNAcentral.